AUGCUUAACACAUGCAAGUCGAACGGAAACGAUGGAAGCUUGCUUCCAGGCGUCGAGUGGCGGACGGGUGAGUAAUGCUUGGGAAUCUGCCUAAUAGUGGGGGAAAACUCGGGGAAACUCGGGCUAAUACCGCAUAGUCUCUUCGGAGGAAAGGGGGCCUCUACAUGUAAGCUCUCGCUAAUAGAUGAGCCCAAGUCAGAUUAGCUUGUUGGUGAGGUAAAAGCUCACCAAGGCUACGAUCUGUAGCUGGUCCGAGAGGACGAUCAGCCACACUGGGACUGAGACACGGCCCAGACUCCUACGGGAGGCAGCAGUGGGGAAUAUUGCACAAUGGGCGCAAGCCUGAUGCAGCAAUACCGCGUGUGUGAAGAAGGCCUUAGGGUUGUAAAGCACUUUCAAUAGAGAAGAAAAGCUUAGAGUUAAUAACUCUAAGCAUUGACGUAACCUAUAGAAGAAGCACCGGCUAAAUCCGUGCCAGCAGCCGCGGUAAUACGGGAGGUGCGAGCGUUAAUCGGAAUUACUGGGCGUAAAGCGAGCGUAGGCUGUUAAUUAAGUCGAAUGUGAAAUCCCCGGGCUCAACCUGGGAACUGCAUUCGAAACUAUUUAACUAGAGUAUGGGAGAGGAAAGUAGAAUUUCCGGUGUAGCGGUGAAAUGCGUAGAUAUCGGAAGGAACACCAGUGG
RNAcentral lists this ribosomal RNA (682 nucleotides) under uncultured bacterium. RNAcentral's name for it is "bacterial SSU rRNA". It matches the Rfam family "Bacterial small subunit ribosomal RNA", at positions 44 to 715 of the family's 1533-position model. The record is from RNAcentral.